RNAcentral lists this ribosomal RNA (407 nucleotides) under uncultured bacterium. Its description in RNAcentral is "bacterial SSU rRNA". It matches the Rfam family "Bacterial small subunit ribosomal RNA", at positions 355 to 774 of the family's 1533-position model. The record is from RNAcentral.
UGGGGAAUAUUGCACAAUGGGCGCAAGCCUGAUGCAGCAACGCCGCGUGAGGGACGACGGCCUUCGGGUUGUAAACCUCUUUUGGCAGGGAAGAAGCGAAAGUGACGGUACCUGCAGAAAAAGCACCGGCUAACUACGUGCCAGCAGCCGCGGUGAUACGUAGGGUGCAAGCGUUGUCCGGAAUUAUUGGGCGUAAAGAGCUCGUAGGCGGUUUGUCGCGUCUGCUGUGAAAACCCGAGGCUCAACCUCGGGCCUGCUGUGGGUACGGGCAAACUAGAGUGCGGUAGGGGAGAUUGGAAUUCCUGGUGCAGCGGUGGAAUGCGCAGAUAUCAGGAGGAACACCGAUGGCGAAGGCAGAUCUCUGGGCCGUAACUGACGCUGAGGAGCGAAAGCAUGGGGAGCGAACA